RNAcentral lists this unclassified non-coding RNA (686 nucleotides) under Gesciella delioti. RNAcentral describes it as "partial contains 16S ribosomal RNA (rrnL) and tRNA-Leu (trnL)". The stretch from base 382 to 540 matches the Rfam family "Bacterial large subunit ribosomal RNA", at positions 2473 to 2632 of the family's 2925-position model. The record is from RNAcentral. Lineage: Eukaryota; Metazoa; Arthropoda; Insecta; Coleoptera; Leiodidae.
GUCUUAUUGAUUAUAAUCUUAAGUCUAAUCUGCCCAAUGAAUUAUUAAAUGGCUGCAGUAUUUUAACUGUACAAAGGUAGCAUAAUAAUUAGUUUCUUAAUUAGGAACUGGAAUGAAUGAUUGGACGAGAUAACAACUGUCUUAGUUUAAAUUUUAGAAUUUUAUUUUUAAGUUAAAAAGCUUAAAUUUUUUUAAAAGACGAGAAGACCCUAUAGAAUUUUAUAUUCUUUAGAUAUUAAAUUAUUAGUAAUUUAAUAUAUAAUUUUUUAAAAAAUAUUUAGUUGGGGUGAUUGAAAAAUUUAAUAAACUUUUUUUUAUGUUAACAUUAAUAUAUGAUUAUAUGAUCCAAUUUUUUUGAUUAUAAGAUUAAAUUACCUUAGGGAUAACAGCGUAAUUUUUUUAGAGAGUUCUAAUCGAUAAAAGAGAUUGCGACCUCGAUGUUGGAUUAAAGUUUAUUUUUAAUGUAGGAGUUAAAAUAUUAGGUCUGUUCGACCUUUAAAACUUUACAUGAUCUGAGUUUAAACCGGUGUGAGCCAGGUUGGAUUCUAUCUUUAAUAAGAUUAAGUAUUUUAGUACGAAAGGACCAAGUAUUUGCUAUAAUAGUUUUAUAAGAAUAUUAAUAUUAUUUUGGCAGAUUAGUGCUUUAAAUUUAGAAUUUAAAUAUGUGUUUUUUAUACAAAUAAUAC